This 495-nucleotide ribosomal RNA is filed under the name uncultured bacterium. RNAcentral's name for it is "partial 16S ribosomal RNA". It matches the Rfam family "Bacterial small subunit ribosomal RNA", at positions 28 to 507 of the family's 1533-position model. The record is from RNAcentral.
GACGAACGCUGGCGGCGUGCCUAAUACAUGCAAGUAGAACGCUGAAGGAGGAGCUUGGUUCUCUGGAUGAGUUGCGAACGGGUGAGUAACGCGUAGGUAACCUGCCUGGUAGCGGGGGAUAACUAUUGGAAACGAUAGCUAAUACCGCAUAAGAGUAGAUGUUGCAUGACAUUUACUUAAAAGGUGCAAUUGCAUCACUACCAGAUGGACCUGCGUUGUAUUAGCUAGUUGGUGAGGUAACGGCUCACCAAGGCAACGAUACAUAGCCGACCUGAGAGGGUGGUCGGCCACACUGGGACUGAGACACGGCCCAGACUCCUACGGGAGGCAGCAGUAGGGAAUCUUCGGCAAUGGACGGAAGUCUGACCGAGCAACGCCGCGUGAGUGAAGAAGGUUUUCGGAUCGUAAAGCUCUGUUGUAAGAGAAGAACGAGUGUGAGAGUGGAAAGUUCACACUGUGACGGUAUCUUACCAGAAAGGGACGGCUAACUACGUG